AGAGUUUGAUCCUGGCUCAGGAUGAACGCUACGNNAGGCUUAAUACAUGCAAGUCGUGGGGCAGCACAGGUAGCAAUACUGGGUGGCGACCGGCAAACGGGUGCGGAACACGUACGCAACCUUCCUUUAACUGGAGAAUAGCCCGGGGAAACCCGGAUUAAUACUCCGUAACAUUAUGAAGUGGCAUCACUUUAUAAUUAUAGCUCCGGCGGUUGAAGAUGGGCGUGCGUCUGAUUAGGUAGUUGGCGGGGUAACGGCCCACCAAGCCUACGAUCAGUAACUGGUGUGAGAGCACGACCAGUCACACGGGCACUGAGACACGGGCCCGACUCCUACGGGAGGCAGCAGUAAGGAAUAUUGGUCAAUGGACGCAAGUCUGAACCAGCCAUGCCGCGUGGAGGAUGAAGGUCCUCUGGAUUGUAAACUUCUUUUAUUUGGGAAGAAACCACCGAUUUCUAUUGGUGUUGACGGUACCAGAUGAAUAAGCACCGGCUAACUCCGUGCCAGCAGCCGCGGUAAUACGGAGGGUGCAAGCGUUAUCCGGAUUCACUGGGUUUAAAGGGUGCGUAGGCGGGUUGGUAAGUCCGUGGUGAAAUCUCCAAGCUUAACUUGGAAACUGCCGUGGAUACUAUCAAUCUUGAAUAUAGUGGAGGUGAGCGGAAUAUGUCAUGUAGCGGUGAAAUGCUUAGAUAUGACAUAGAACACCCAUUGCGAAGGCAGCUCGCUACACUAUUAUUGACGCUGAGGCACGAAAGCGUGGGGAUCAAACAGGAUUAGAUACCCUAGUAGUCC
This 792-nucleotide ribosomal RNA is filed under the name uncultured bacterium. RNAcentral's name for it is "bacterial SSU rRNA". It matches the Rfam family "Bacterial small subunit ribosomal RNA", at positions 8 to 796 of the family's 1533-position model. The record is from RNAcentral.